CCGCAGGUGGAAACUACUGCUCUCGCGAUAAUGGAGGCUGUUCUCAUUUAUGUCUGCCACAUCCGGGUGGAUUCACCUGCCGCUGUCCCGACGCCAGUGAUGCUUCAUGUGUCGAAGAUGACCAAAACUUCUGAGAACCGAACAGCAGCUCCGUCCCGUCAGGAGGACACAAUCAGUACAGUGAGGGAGACUAGAGAUUCUAAUCUGCCAAUAGCAGUGUUUUGCGCUAUUGUAUUGUUACGUUAUUGUUCGUUGUGGUUACUAAGAGACGUCGAUCAAAUCAGGGAUUCCUUUUCCUUAAAAUCUUUCAAAAGUACUAAACUGUAUGGAAGCUUGUUUCGAUCAUGGAAGAAAAAACGUAAUUGUAAAUUCGUAACUCUUUCCUACAUUUAUAGAUUUAUAUCUUAUUAAUUUAUAUCUAGCAAUGCUGACUUUUUUCGCUAUUACGAAUUAAUAUCUUUCGACUUUUUUCGCAAGUAUUUUUUUAUAUCUUACAAUUCUGACAUUUUUACAAUUACAAGUUUAUACCUUGCGCAAUUAUUACUUUUUUCGCAAUUACAAGUUUAUAUUUUGCAAUUCUGACGUUUUUUUUCAAUUAUGAGUUUUUAUAUUGCAACUAUUUUUUUUUUUGCAAUCCUGA
This is an RNA transcript of Danio rerio (zebrafish), 640 nucleotides long. It is a transcript of the gene named nidogen 1b, with no coding region annotated. The record is from RefSeq and is marked provisional. Lineage: Eukaryota; Metazoa; Chordata; Actinopteri; Cypriniformes; Danionidae.